AUGUCUCUUUUGGAUUGCUUCUGCACUUCAAGAACACAAGAUGAAUCACUCAGACCUGAAAAACAGUCUGAAACCAGUAUCCAUCAAUACUUGGUUGAUGAGCCAACCCUUUCCUGGUCACCUCCAUCCACUAGAGCCAGUGAAGUACUAUGUUCCACCAACGUUUCUCACUACGAGCUCCAAGUAGAAACAGGAAGAGGAUUUGACAACUUGACUUCUGUCCAUCUUGCAUGGCAUACUCCCACGGGAACACUGGUAACUAUAAAAAUUACAAAUCUGGAAAACUGCAAUGAAGAACGCCUGAAAGCUUUACAGAAAGCCGUGAUUCUAUCCCACUUUUUCCGGCAUCCCAAUAUUACAACUUACUGGACAGUUUUCACUGUUGGCAGCUGGCUUUGGGUUAUUUCUCCAUUUAUGGCCUAUGGUUCAGCAAGUCAACUCUUGAGGACCUGUUUUCCUGAAGGAAUGAGUGAAACUUUAAUAAGAAACAUUAUCUUUGGAGCUGUGAGAGGGUUGAACUAUCUGUACCAAAAUGGCUGUAUUCACAGGAGUAUUAAAGCCAGCCAUAUCCUCAUUUCUGGUGAUGGCCUAGUGACCCUCUCUGGCCUGUCCCAUCUGCAUAGUUUGGUUAAGCAUGGACAGAGGCAUAGGGCUGUGUAUGAUUUCCCACAGUUCAGCACAUCAGUGCAGCCGUGGCUGAGUCCAGAACUACUGAGACAGGAUUUACAUGGGUAUAAUGUGAAGUCAGAUAUUUACAGUGUUGGGAUUACAGCAUGUGAAUUAGCCAGUGGGCAGGUGCCUUUCCAGGACAUGCAUAGAACUCAGAUGCUGUUACAGAAACUGAAAGGUCCUCCUUAUAGCCCAUUGGAUAUCAGUAUUUUCCCUCAAUCAGAAUCCAGAAUGAAAAAUUCCCGGUCAGGUGUAGACUCUGGAAUUGGAGAAAGUGUGCUUGUCUCCAGUGGAACUCACACAGUAAAUAGUGACCGAUUACACACACCAUCCUCAAAAACUUUCUCUCCUGCCUUCUUUAGCUUGGUACAGCUCUGUUUGCAACAAGAUCCUGAGAAAAGGCCAUCAGCAAGCAGUUUAUUGUCCCAUGUUUUCUUCAAACAGAUGAAAGAAGAAAGCCAGGAUUCAAUACUUUCACGGUUGCCUCCUGCUUAUAACAAGCCAUCAAUACCAUUGCCUCCAGUGUUACCUUGGACUGAGCCAGAAUGUGAUUUUCCUGAUGAAAAAGACUCAUACUUGGAAUUCUAG
Molecule: long non-coding RNA, 1257 nt
Filed under: Homo sapiens (human)
Lineage: Eukaryota; Metazoa; Chordata; Mammalia; Primates; Hominidae
Description: non-protein coding lnc-SLC5A9-8:1
Source: RNAcentral